GAUGAACGCUGGCGGCGUGCCUAAUACAUGCAAGUCGAGCGAACAGACGAGGAGCUUGCUCCUCUGACGUUAGCGGCGGACGGGUGAGUAACACAUGGAUAACCUACCUAUAAGACUGGGAUAACUUCGGGAAACCGGAGCUAAUACCGGAUAAUAUAUUGAACCGCAUGGUUCAAUAGUGAAAGACGGUUUUGCUGUCACUUAUAGAUGGAUCUGCGCCGCAUUAGCUAGUUGGUAAGGUAACGGCUUACCAAGGCAACGAUGCGUAGCCGACCUGAGAGGGUGAUCGGCCACACUGGAACUGAGACACGGUCCAGACUCCUACGGGAGGCAGCAGUAGGGAAUCUUCCGCAAUGGGCGAAAGCUUGACGGAGCAACGCCGCGUGAGUGAUGAAGGUCUUCGGAUCGUAAAACUCUGUUAUUAGGGAAGAACAAAUGUGUAAGUAACUAUGCACGUCUUGACGGUACCUAAUCAGAAAGCCACGGCUAACUACGUG
This 497-nucleotide ribosomal RNA is filed under the name uncultured bacterium. Its description in RNAcentral is "partial 16S ribosomal RNA". It matches the Rfam family "Bacterial small subunit ribosomal RNA", at positions 28 to 507 of the family's 1533-position model. The record is from RNAcentral.